GUGGAUGUAGCUCAGCUGGCAGAGCACAGGAUUGUGGCUCCUGUGGCCGAGGGUUCGAACCCCUUCAUCCACC
Molecule: transfer RNA, 73 nt
Filed under: Myxococcales bacterium
Lineage: Bacteria; Pseudomonadati; Myxococcota; Myxococcia; Myxococcales
Description: tRNA-His
Rfam family: tRNA
About the family: Transfer RNA (tRNA) molecules are approximately 80 nucleotides in length. Their secondary structure includes four short double-helical elements and three loops (D, anti-codon, and T loops).
Source: RNAcentral